CAAUAGCGUAUAUUAAAGUUGUUGCAGUUAAAAAGCUCGUAGUUGGAUUUCUUUUGAAUGAUGGAUCCUGGCGUGUUUCUGCCUUUUAUGGUAGAACAUUGUCUUCCACUUAUUCAAAAUUUUUGUAAUUUCUGUAAUUGAAUUGUUCACUAUUAUACUUAAUUGUAUAAUUUUGUACAAUUCUUUACAUUAAGGGAAUUGCAUCUUUUACUGUGAAAAAAUCAGCGCGUUCAAAGCAGGCUUUAUGCUCUCUGAAUGUCUCAGCAUGGAAUAAUAAAAUAAGUCUCAUCUUUAUUUUGUUGGUUUGCAAAGAAGAGAAAUGAUUAACAGGGACAGUUGGGGGUAUUCGUAUUAGGAUGUCAGAGGUGAAAUUCAUAGAUUUUCUUAAGACGAACUACUGCGAAAGCAUUUACCAAGGAUGUUUUCAUUAA
RNAcentral lists this ribosomal RNA (431 nucleotides) under uncultured eukaryote. RNAcentral's name for it is "partial 18S ribosomal RNA". It matches the Rfam family "Eukaryotic small subunit ribosomal RNA", at positions 592 to 976 of the family's 1831-position model. The record is from RNAcentral.